This 124-nucleotide microRNA precursor is filed under the name Podarcis lilfordi (Lilford's wall lizard). Lineage: Eukaryota; Metazoa; Chordata; Lepidosauria; Squamata; Lacertidae. The record is from RNAcentral.
AACUAAGUUUGUUAUUGGUAUGAGCUUUUGUGUGCAUGCACACUUCUUCAGAUACACCGAAACAGAAGUAUCUGAAGAAGUGUGCAUGCACACAAAAGCUCAUACCAAUAACAAACUUAGUUGG